This 19-nucleotide microRNA is filed under the name Macaca mulatta (Rhesus monkey). RNAcentral's name for it is "mml-miR-877-3p". Its record names the gene mml-miR-877-3p. Lineage: Eukaryota; Metazoa; Chordata; Mammalia; Primates; Cercopithecidae. The record is from miRBase by way of RNAcentral.
CCUCUUCUCCCUCCUCCCA